This 409-nucleotide ribosomal RNA is filed under the name uncultured bacterium. Its description in RNAcentral is "bacterial SSU rRNA". It matches the Rfam family "Bacterial small subunit ribosomal RNA", at positions 29 to 424 of the family's 1533-position model. The record is from RNAcentral.
AACGAACGCUGGCGGCGUGCCUAACACAUGCAAGUCGUGCGGGAAAGUUCCUUCGGGAGCGAGUAAAGCGGCGCACGGGUGAGUAACACGUAGGUAACCUGCCCCCCAGUCUGGAACAACUAGAGGAAACUCUAGCUAAUGCCGGAUGAGACCACGAUCCCUUCGGGGGUUGCGGCCAAAGAUGGCCUCUACUUGUAAGCUAUCGCUGAGGGAUGGGCCUGCGGGCCAUUAGCUUGUUGGUGAGGUAACGGCUCACCAAGGCUGUGAUGGCUAGCUGGUCUGAGAGGAUGACCAGCCACACUGGGACUGAGACACGGCCCAGACUCCUACGGGAGGCAGCAGUGGGGAAUAUUGCGCAAUGGGCGAAAGCCUGACGCAGCGACGCCGCGUGGGUGAUGAAGGCCUGGUC